CUGGAGGUAUCAGAAGUGCGAAUGCUGACAUAAGUAACGAUAAAGCGGGUGAAAAGCCCGCUCGCCGGAAGACCAAGGGUUCCUGUCCAACGUUAAUCGGGGCAGGGUGAGUCGACCCCUAAGGCGAGGCCGAAAGGCGUAGUCGAUGGGAAACAGGUUAAUAUUCCUGUACUUGGUGUUACUGCGAAGGGGGGACGGAGAAGGCUAUGUUGGCCGGGCGACGGUUGUCCCGGUUUAAGCGUGUAGGCUGGUUUUCCAGGCAAAUCCGGAAAAUCAAGGCUGAGGCGUGAUGACGAGGCACUGCGGUGCUGAAGCAACAAAUGCCCUGCUUCCAGGAAAAGCCUCUAAGCAUCAGGUAACAUCAAAUCGUACCCCAAACCGACACAGGUGGUCAGGUAGAGAAUACCAAGGCGCUUGAGAGAACUCGGGUGAAGGAACUAGGCAAAAUGGUGCCGUAACUUCGGGAGAAGGCACGCUGAUAUGUAGGUGAAGUCCCUCGCGGAUGGAGCUGAAAUCAGUCGAAGAUACCAGCUGGCUGCAACUGUUUAUUAAAAACACAGCACUGUGCAAACACGAAAGUGGACGUAUACGGUGUGACGCCUGCCCGGUGCCGGAAGGUUAAUUGAUGGGGUUAGCGCAAGCGAAGCUCUUGAUCGAAGCCCCGGUAAACGGCGGCCGUAACUAUAACGGUCCUAAGGUAGCGAAAUUCCUUGUCGGGUAAGUUCCGACCUGCACGAAUGGCGUAAUGAUGGCCAGGCUGUCUCCACCCGAGACUCAGUGAAAUUGAACUCGCUGUGAAGAUGCAGUGUACCCGCGGCAAGACGGAAAGACCCCGUGAACCUUUACUAUAGCUUGACACUGAACAUUGAGCCUUGAUGUGUAGGAUAGGUGGGAGGCUUUGAAGUGUGGACGCCAGUCUGCAUGGAGCCGACCUUGAAAUACCACCCUUUAAUGUUUGAUGUUCUAACGUUGACCCGUAAUCCGGGUUGCGGACAGUGUCUGGUGGGUAGUUUGACUGGGGCGGUCUCCUCCUAAAGAGUAACGGAGGAGCACGAAGGUUGGCUAAUCCUGGUCGGACAUCAGGAGGUUAGUGCAAUGGCAUAAGCCAGCUUGACUGCGAGCGUGACGGCGCGAGCAGGUGCGAAAGCAGGUCAUAGUGAUCCGGUGGUUCUGAAUGGAAGGGCCAUCGCUCAACGGAUAAAAGGUACUCCGGGGAUAACAGGCUGAUACCGCCCAAGAGUUCAUAUCGACGGCGGUGUUUGGCACCUCGAUGUCGGCUCAUCACAUCCUGGGGCUGAAGUAGGUCCCAAGGGUAUGGCUGUUCGCCAUUUAAAGUGGUACGCGAGCUGGGUUUAGAACGUCGUGAGACAGUUCGGUCCCUAUCUGCCGUGGGCGCUGGAGAACUGAGGGGGGCUGCUCCUAGUACGAGAGGACCGGAGUGGACGCAUCACUGGUGUUCGGGUUGUCAUGCCAAUGGCACUGCCCGGUAGCUAAAUGCGGAAGAGAUAAGUGCUGAAAGCAUCUAAGCACGAAACUUGCC
This 1540-nucleotide ribosomal RNA is filed under the name Escherichia coli. Its description in RNAcentral is "partial 23S ribosomal RNA". It matches the Rfam family "Bacterial large subunit ribosomal RNA", at positions 1273 to 2798 of the family's 2925-position model. The record is from RNAcentral. Lineage: Bacteria; Pseudomonadati; Pseudomonadota; Gammaproteobacteria; Enterobacterales; Enterobacteriaceae.